AGUGAACGCUGGCGGCGUGCCUAAUACAUGCAAGUCGAACGGAGUGGCGCACGGGUGAGUAAUGUAUAGCUAAUCUGCCCUACACUAGAGGAUAACAGUUGGAAACGGCUGCUAAUACUCUAUAGUGUAGGAUGAGGCUAUAUUGUAUCAGCUAGUUGGUUAGGUAAUGGCUCACCAAGGGUAUGACGCAUAACUGGUCUGAGAGGAUGAUCAGUAACACUGGAGCGGAGACACGGUACAGACUCCUACGGGAUGGAGCAGAAGUGAAUAUUGCUCAAUGGGGGAAACCCUGAAGCAGCAACGCCGCGUGGAGGAUGACACUUUUCGGAGCGUAAACUCCUUUUGUUAGGGAAGCGGUACCUAACGAAUAAGCACCGGCUAACUCCGUGCCAGCAGCCGCGGUAAUUC
Molecule: ribosomal RNA, 408 nt
Filed under: uncultured bacterium
Lineage: Bacteria
Description: partial 16S ribosomal RNA
Rfam family: Bacterial small subunit ribosomal RNA
Source: RNAcentral